GCCACAGCCGGCUCUACAGGUAACAGGCGUUUCUUCUCGCGCAGUUUGAACAAAAACAAUCCAGAAGGAACAGAUUUGGUUUUUUAAAAAAAAUGAACAAAAGCCAAAAAAGCCACAAACACAACCUAAACCUUCUAAGAAGCUCGACUACUCCCGUUCUGCACGUUCCUUCCCAGAAGGAUGCAGACCCCCGGUGUCGGCGGGAACCAGGAAGCUCUUGGGGCCUCCCUGGGCCAGACCUGCACCCGGGAAGCCGCCGCAAGGCUUCAGGAGCCCCAGGUCGCCCCAAGGCCGCGCCGCAGGAUUGAACAAAGCGGCGGGUGCAGCAACCUCGGCGCUUCCGAGCGCGUUCGGGGCCGGACGCCCGGCGUCCGGCGCUGGCUCCAGAAAGGCGGCGGGUGUGGGGCGCAGAGGCCUAUCUCGCGCCCUAGCCGCGGCCCGCGCCCCGCCGCAGUCCCCGGGGACGGUACUCACACACGCAGAGCUCCACCACGUACGCGUAGUAGGACCAGACGACCACGAAGGUGAUGAAGAGCACCGGCACCCAGCCCACGACGCGCUGGCAGCAGCGCCACAGCGUCCAGGGCGCCAUGUUCCGCUGGCGGCUGCCGAGCCCCGCGUCCCACCGUUCUGGGGAGCGCGGGAGCCCCGGCGACGGUGACUCGGACGCUCCAGGCGGCUGCUGGUCCAGCUCCCCCGCCUCCGAGGCAGGACUUGUGGGAGCAAAAGUCCGAGGCGCCGCCGGGACUCCUCCCGUCCCGGCGCCCAGCCAGGCCCCGCCCCCACCCCACAUCCCGUCGCCCCCCUCCCCCCGCGUCCGUCCCCGCCAGCCCGCCCGCCGCGGGCCGCGGGCCGCCCCCGGUCUCCGCGUCGUUGGGGCGGGGUUUCCGCGGCCGGGGAGGCGGUGAGGGGGCGGGGCCGCAGCUCGGGACCGCCCAUGGGGCGUGGCGGGGCUGGAUGCGGACAGGCUGGGCGGACGCGGGAGGCCGGGGAAGGAGAGGCGAAAAACACGCCCUUGAUGGAUGAGAGGGACAGGGGAUAGCUUUUGUGGAUCGAGACUCAAUAGGGGAGGGAGACUAUGGAAAUGAUUCCUUAGCUGAUUUGUGGAUCUUGGCCCUCUCUGUGUACAGAACUCGCUCCACUGGGGUUCCUGGGACAUUGAGUAGUUGGGGCACUGUUUCAAACAUGACAAGGCCAUUCCCCACUCAGUGUGCGAAGAAUGCACAUUGUUAGAAGGCUCCUCCUGUGAUUUUUAUGUUCGUCCAUCUUGGCGGAACCCCUCCCUUUCUUGAAGAUGGAACGGUAGAUACCUGUAAUUUCGGGUAGAAGCCAUGUAGGGUCCAUCAGUUUGAUUCGUAACCCAAAUUUAAGAUUGAGUAGCGAGAAGGAAAGGGCAUGUAAAUGACCCUCUCCUUGCCCCGCAAACGACUAAGGAAAUUUAAAGAAUUUAUUUACAACUAGAGGUUGCUAAGCAAUGACGAUAAUCAUAUAGAACCCAGAAGCAUCACUGUGAAGACUUCACAAUGCAAGGUCAGACGCAUUAGAAGGGAUUCCAGACCGCAAUCUUCAUACCAGUUCCUGCUACUAGCAUUCAGUUUUGGUUUCGCCCUGUUGCCAUGCUGGCCCUGAACUCCAAGGCUCAAGGAAUCCCAACCCCUCUCCGCCUCCACCUCCCAAAGAAGUGCUGAGAUUACAGGUGUGAGCCACCACGACCGGCCUACACUGAGCUUUAAAUUAGCUACUGCUCACUAAAGUCUCCAUGAAGAAGACGUCACCCUUUGCUGUGUCAGAGAAAUGUAGUAAAAGCGAGUAAGUAUUUAAUCACUGCACACUGCUGCUUGAGUAAUAAAGCAUG
RNAcentral lists this long non-coding RNA (1855 nucleotides) under Homo sapiens (human). Its description in RNAcentral is "HSALNT0372087". Lineage: Eukaryota; Metazoa; Chordata; Mammalia; Primates; Hominidae. The record is from RNAcentral.